This 253-nucleotide ribosomal RNA is filed under the name uncultured bacterium. RNAcentral describes it as "partial 16S ribosomal RNA". It matches the Rfam family "Bacterial small subunit ribosomal RNA", at positions 524 to 776 of the family's 1533-position model. The record is from RNAcentral.
UACAGAGACUGCAAGCGUUAUUCGGAAUUACUGGGCUUAAAGGGUGCGUAGGCGGUGCAGCAAGUCGGGAGUGAAAUCCCACAGCUCAACUGUGGAAUUGCUUUCGAUACUGCUGUGCUUGAGUGAGACAGAGGUAAGCGGAACUUAGGGUGGAGCGGUGAAAUGCGUUGAUAUCCUAAGGAACACCGGUGGCGAAGGCGGCUUACUGGGUCUCUACUGACGCUGAUGCACGAAAGCCAGGGUAGCGAACGGG